Small nucleolar RNA from Phoenix dactylifera (date palm), 162 nucleotides. RefSeq annotates it as small nucleolar RNA snoR143. NCBI's taxonomy places the organism in Eukaryota, Viridiplantae, Streptophyta, Magnoliopsida, Arecales, Arecaceae. The record is from RefSeq and is a predicted model, not a curated record.
CUGCAUUUGUUGGAUAAUAAGGCCACAUGUAUUUAAAUAGUGGUGUCUUUAGCAACAAUGCGUAAAUGAAAAGCUAUUCAGUUGGCAGCGGCCAGACAACCGCAGGGAUGGAUCCACAGAUGACUGAUAUUUGAUGCCAUCUACUAAUUCCAUCUCAUAUUU